This 3535-nucleotide long non-coding RNA is filed under the name Macaca fascicularis (crab-eating macaque). Its description in RNAcentral is "lncRNA (ENSMFAG00000057909.1)". Lineage: Eukaryota; Metazoa; Chordata; Mammalia; Primates; Cercopithecidae. The record is from RNAcentral.
UUUUUUUGUUUUUUGUUUUUUGUUUUUUUUUAAUCUAGGCUUUCGGGAAUGAAAUGCCUGACUCACUGGAUCAGCUUGGGUCAGAGAUACUGAUAAACCUCUUAUGCCUUGAAAUUGUAAUGGAACGCAAGUUCAGCCAUUUGCCACUUGAGAAGCCGAAUACACAAGAGGUGAGGUAUAGUGGAAGGAAAGCAGCUGUAUUAAUCAAAUGCCGGCAGUUGAGGAAAUGACUGGGUUUAUGCCUCUACAAAACCAUUUCAAAUUUUUGGGCUGACUGUGGGGGUUUAAAAAAAGAAACUUGCAGGAGUUGUGCAAGGUGCAGGUCUGCACGUCUUGUUCCAAUGACUAUCUUGAAUUAUUGUCUACCUGAACAGAAUCCAAGCUGGUAUCAUCUUCACUGUGGCUGGGUCAUAGAUUAUCCCCUCUGAGUUAAUUUCUAGAUGGGGGAGAGUUCUACAGCUGGGUUUCCAUAUCUAGUUUGCUUCUAGAGUAGCCCCGGAAGUUUCUAAACAAGCAUAUCAUUAAAUAAGUGUGAUGGUGCUAGGGAGCAUCUGGUGGGAAAGGGAGAGAAACAGAGUUUUAAAGUCAUUUCAAGGCUAUGUUCUGAGUUUAGAGAAAAAAAGGUUUUUAAGUGCAUUUUAAAACUAAGAUACUUGAUUACAAAAUGUGAAUUUUGAUGGAAGAGGAAGAAUAUUAAACAGCUUUCCUCAAUUGUUCUUCCACUUGUGCCUGAGUAAGUGGCAUCCAUACUUGACCCUAUAGACAUGGCAUUCAAUUUUAACCCAUCUUCCCUCAGCUUUACAGUAGGGAAAAUCGUAAGAAGAAUUUUAAUUUAGCAAUAAUUUUUGGCCCCCAAUUAAUCGAAUGGCUAAAAUAUUGUACCUCUAAUACUCAAAGAAGCUCAGCUAGUAAGUAAACUUGGUAUGUUAUUAAUCAAGCCAUACAUUUUUAUUCAGGGCUUUUUAUGGUCUCAGCACUGGAAUUUUAAUGAGAGGUGAUUAAAAAGAUAUGUUCUCUAGUAGAAAAGAUGAAAACCAAAGCAUCAAUUUAUUCAACAAACACUUGUUGGGAUCUACUACUGUGCCAAGUGCUUAAUGGAAAACAUGGGUGUUUAACAUAAGGUCCUUUAUGUUGGUACACACCAAAUAUGUCUUUCCUAAAUGAAUUAAACACAAACAUUUUAUUUUUUAUAAUAAAAAUGUUCUUUUCUACAUAAUUGUUAUGUUCUUUAUUAGGAAUUCAUAUCUCUAAAAGAAUUGAAAAAUUGUUUAUGUGCAUAUGCCAUCAAACACCGUAUCUUCAAAAGAGGUAUCUUUUGAAGACGUUAACAGUUUAAAAUUCCUCACUGGUGAAGAAAAACAUGAGUUUUACAUAGCAGAUGUUACAUUUUAGGAUGGAUGUAUGUGUAUAACCUCUCUAGGGAAGUCCUAGAACAAAAAUUUAACAGUCAUGAGUAAAUAUGCAUGCAUAUAUAUAUAUAUAUAUAUAUAUAUAUAUGCAUGCAAAUAUUAUUAAUAUUUGCAUGGCAAAUGGAUUAUUAAAUAAUGUAAAAGCUUACUAAAUUACCAGCUGGUUGGACUAUUUAUUAAUUGAGAUAAACUUGAGGAGAAAGCAGUAAUUAUAAAUAUUCUUUUAAAAUGUAAAUUGAUGAACUAACAAGGUUUUCCAUUAUAUAUUAAUAUCUGUGGUACAUUUUUAUGCUAUGUAUUUCAUUUUUUCCUGCUCAUUUCUAAAUUAAUUACAGGCAUUAGAGAAGCCAUAAAUACUAAAAGUCAGAUUCAGCUGUCUGCUUUCAAGUGUAUCACACCACAAUCAUAGAUCUUUGAGAAAGCAUAGUAGGAACAAUUCUUUACAUAAUUGUAUAAUUAUAACCCAUGUUGAAAUUAGCAAAGUUAGUCAAAAGAAACGUUAAACAGGUUUUCUUUUCUAAGUGUCACAAAGACUUUGUAGAAUACUUAUAUUUAUAAUGGAUAAUAUGGUUACAUUUUGCAUUAUACUUUAGCUACUAAAGUUAUAAAUGAUCAAGCUUGAAUGAAUUUUGGAGUCUCACAUCUAGUAUAUGCUUGUUUUUCUGGUCAGAAACAUUUUAUGUUUAUUUCUUUCUCUUCAUUUUGAAGAUUAAGGAAAGAUUACUUUAAGAGUCGAACUUGGCACUUUGCAUAUCUCUCUGGUUUAUGUAAGAGUCUUUCCAAGUUUUGUGAAAAAUUCUUCUAAAAGGACAAGGUGAAUUACUUGGCUAAGAUAUAGAUGCCAAUAUAUGUACAAAGAGAACAAAGCUAUAUGAAAUGCACAGAAGGAUCCUGCUCUCCUGCUUGAACAUUUAGCCGAAGGGAAAAGCACGGAGAGAGCCAGAGUAACAAUAACCACGUGCCUUUUUCAUAUAUGAUUCUUAGACAAGAUUUCAAACACCAGAAGAUGGAAGGUCAAUAAAUGUAGGAAGAUUUUAUCCAUACAAGUUGAGAAAAAGUUAACAUAUGCAAAAUGUGUAAAUGAUCUUCUAAGUGUCUAUUGCCUUUGAAAGGUAUCAUUCUCAAGUUAAUUCACCAGUUAAUUUCAUGUCAUCUGAAGUUUCUCUAUUAAAAUUUAAGUAAGAGGUUCUCAUUUAGGAAACAAAUAACUUCUAAAUAUUUCUGAAGAACAUUUAUCAACAUAACCACAGUGUACUGAAUUUAGCUUUUACCAACUCAUGAGAGCCAAUUGUGCAUGUAUUUUCACAACUCUUGUGUUUCAGUGCUGUCACAAUAGUGCUUGGAAUCAAGUGUGGUGGGAGAUUUUACACCACAGAAAUAAAAAAUUACUAUUUUUUAAUAUUUAAUUUAAUUAUUCCUAUCAGCCUAUGUGUGUAUUUUUAUAUUUUUAUACACUUUUUAUUCCUGUUUCACAAAUAGAGUAACUGAGACGGAGAGGUCAUCAGCCCAAAGUCAUACUGUGAAUGGUGGAGCUAGGAUUUAUGCUCAGGCAGUGUAACUGUACAGCCUUCGGACUUAGCCACGAUGCUACUCUGCUUCCCAGUAAAUAUUUAGUCAAAGUUUAUUCAUCAGUAUAGAAUGAUGACAUUAUUUACUGACUGCAUAAACCCAAAUUAUCAAGCAGUUUUUCAACAUUGUCUCAAAGAAGUAAAUUCAAUAUAUCUAACUUGAAAUUUAGGAGCAUUAAAAAAUCAGGAAAGCUAUUUUAUAGAACCAGAGCUUUUCAUGGGGACAGGUGCUAGUGUUCUCUGCUCCAGAAUUCUGAUGCUUAAAAUGUUGCAUAUUUGUUUUAGAUGGGAAAGGAGGGUGUUGGCAGAAGGAUGCCUGGUGGGCAGGGACAUGCCAGUUUGCCAGGAAUCUCAGCAGACACAGUGAUGUGAACGAGCAAGACAAAAUGCCAGGUAGAGACCUACUUUACAUAGUACUUAGAAAUAAAAAUCAUAAGAAAUGUUGAACCAUGCGGUGAUGAGAAUCACUUUUAUACCACCCCAAAUCCCUUUUCCUGAAAUCUCUGAUGAUACUAUCCACAUUUAAAGUUUUCAAAUAUUUUACAAAGUACUUCCAUA